Molecule: ribosomal RNA, 709 nt
Filed under: uncultured bacterium
Lineage: Bacteria
Description: bacterial SSU rRNA
Rfam family: Bacterial small subunit ribosomal RNA
Source: RNAcentral
AGCGGCGGACGGGUGAGUAACGCGUGGGUAACCUGCCCUAUACACACGGACAACAUACCGAAAGGUAUGCUAAUACGAGAUAAUAUAAGAGAUUUACAUGGAUUUCUUAUCAAAGCUGAGGCGGUAUAGGAUGGACCCGCGUCUGAUUAGCUAGUUGGUAAGGUAACGGCUUACCAAGGCGACGAUCAGUAGCCGACCUGAGGGGGUGAUCGGCCACAUUGGAACUGAGACACGGUCCAAACUCCUACGGGAGGCAGCAGUGGGGAAUAUUGCACAAUGGGCGAAAGCCUGAUGCAGCAACGCCGCGUGAGUGAUGAAGGCCUUCGGGUCGUAAAACUCUGUCCUCAAGGAAGAUAAUGACGGUACCUGAGGAGGAAGCCCCGGCUAACUACGUGCCAGCAGCCGCGGUAAUACGUAGGGGGCUAGCGUUAUCCGGAUUUACUGGGCGUAAAGGGUGCGUAGGUGGUCUCUUAAGUCAGGAGUGAAAGGCUACAGCUUAACCGUAGUAAGCUCUUGAAACUGGGAGACUUGAGUGCAGGAGAGGAAAGUGGAAUUCCUAGUGUAGCGGUGAAAUGCGUAGAUAUUAGGAGGAACACCAGUAGCGGAGGCGGCUUUCUGGACUGUAACUGACACUGAGGCACGAAAGCGUGAGGAGCAAACAGGAUUAGAUACCCUGGUAGUCCACGCCGUAACGAUGAGUACUAGGUGU